CAUCUGUAUAAUAAAAACCAUCCUUACAAUUACAAAUAAAAUUCAUUUGGACACAACUGAGUGCCACUUAGCACUGGGUGUGUUUGGUUGAAGGGAUAUCCUCCCAGAGACAGGGAUAACCACUUUUUUCUAUGGUUGCCAUGCGUUUGAAUCUGGGGCGAGGAGGGAUAGAGUCAACCAGAUGCUGGGAAUAUUCUCCAAAACAAAGGAUGUGGC
RNAcentral lists this long non-coding RNA (216 nucleotides) under Hordeum vulgare. RNAcentral's name for it is "long non-coding RNA (HVUL_LNC013186)". Lineage: Eukaryota; Viridiplantae; Streptophyta; Magnoliopsida; Poales; Poaceae. The record is from RNAcentral.